UCUCCCCACCAAAACCUCUUAUAAUCAUAGUUAUUUUAAAAAAGAAUGCAUGCUUUUCUAGGUUUGUUCUAUGGGUUUUCGGUUUUUUUACUUCCUGGUCUGAUCUAUAUUCCUCUAUUUCACUCUCACGUCUCCUUCUCUCUCUCCACUUUCGUUUUCUCCCAUAAUUAACUCUCUUAUCAAUAGGAAACACUCUUUCGAUUCUAUCCUAUUAUUCCUAUUUCCCCCUCUCUAUCACUUUACUCUCUUACCAAUAAGAAACUUCUUGGAUUUUAUCCUAUCUCCCCCUCCUCUCUCCUUCUAAAUCAAUUUCACUCUCACGUCCCCUUCUCUCUCUCCACUUUCGUUUUCUUCUAUAAUUAACUCUUCUACCAAUAGGAAACUCUUUAGAUUAUAUCCUAUUAUUCUUAUUUCCCCUUCUAUCUCUCACUUUACUCUCUUACCAAUAAGAAACUCCUUGGAUUCUAUCCUAUCUCCCCCUCCUCUCUCCUUCUAAAUCAAUUUCACUCUUUCUAAUUCGUCUCUCUCCCACCUUACCAAUAGGAAACCUAUUCUCUCUUUUCAUUCUUUACAUCUUUCUCAUAUCUCUCCAAUAGAAAACAUUUCUUUCUAUAUAGAUUCCCUAUCUCCAAUGCAUCUCUCCUUCUUUUACUAAUAGGAAACCUACUUUCUUUCCAUCUUUUUCUCCUUCCUUUUGCAAUAAGAACCUCCUUAGAUCUCCCCAACGAGACCUCUUAUGCAUGACAGUCUGGAAGAAAUAGUUAUUUUAAAAAAGUAUGCAUGCUUUUCUAAGUUAGUUCUAUGGGUUCUCUCCAUUUUUCUAUUUCCUGGUUUGAUCUGUUUCCACUAUUUUCUCUCUUUGAAUCAGCGUUGCAUCCAGUUGAUUCAAAUAUCAGUAUUUGUGUGCUCAAUGAUUAUCUUUGAUUGAUUCAAUCUUGCAAAUGCUUUGUUCUUCAUUUUGAUUUGAAUAUUUUGAUUGAGAUACUGAGCGAUUUUCAUUCUUUUAUUGUCUUCUCUUACUUUACCUUUGAGUUUCAUUUAAUACGAUCAAGGAAGCUUAGCUAAUAAUUUUCUAUCACUUGGUUUCAUGGAGGAGGGGAAGUAUUUAUUCAUCAAGUGCCAAUAAUUAAGGCUUUUAAGAGGAAAAUGUAUAUCUGAAUAGCGGAAAACAAAGAAGGAAUCGACUCCAUUGAAGGUAUUUUUGUUAAUUUGUUCUAAAUUUGGGAAUUACUGUUUUUUAAUUGGUUGAUUCGGUAGCGUCUCUGAUAAAUUCUGGUGAUGGUUGAGGGGUAAUUUAUGUCUUCAAAGUUCUGGUUUGAAUCAGUCAAGCCCGAUCCUGGUUCAAGCUGCUUCAAAUCACCUCUAGCUCCUUACAGCUUUAACCAUGGAACCAAACAUACACAGACCUGCAUCUCAUGGGAACGUUUACAUAAAUAAACGUUCAUUAUUUGAAUAUAAGGAAUAUAUUCAUUAUUCCUUUGCUUCCAGAACUUUACUCAUUUUUUUCUUGUUUGCAAGAAUACUGCUCUUUGAUGCCAACCUCAUCUCUUUUCAUUUUUUUUCCUUCUCUUUCUUCUCUGCAGCAAGAGCUGCUGUUGCAGCAGCUGAGACAGCAUCUGGUAAUGACCACUGUUAAGUUAAAAUGGGAACUGGAAAAAUAACAAAAAUGUAUGAUACGGGUUUUAAACAAAUAAAAACGAUGAAUAGUAUAAUAAAAAAAAGGAAAUGUCAAAUGGACGAAAACACGAGUAUUAAAAUAAAACAAAAAAAAAUCCAGUAUACUCAUGUAAUUUGAGAGAUUAUUACCUAUACAAUUUAUAACCGAUUUGAUUUUUCCUCAAUCAACCUAAGGGUACACUUUGCUUGCCAAAAAAGAAAAAAGAAAUCUGGAAAUGGUCAUGAUUCAUGAACAAGAUCACCCUCAUCGACACUACCUGAAACAAAUGUAUCCACAAUUCCACAUGCAUAAAAGCCAUGGUAAAUGCUCUAAGAAUUCCAUUGUCUACUUGGAAAUAUAUGGCUACAUUGUUGGCAGCUUCCGAAGAACACAUUUGGGAAUAAUUGUUUAUUCAAGCCAUUUUGGAAUAAGCUUUCUCUAUUAAAGCUUAUCGGUAGAUUAUUGUUAAAGGGUUGCCGCUUCCUUUUUUGUUAUUACAGUCAAUUUAUCCCAAUAGUUGAUAGAUGAAAGUAUCAUUGUGCUCAUCUUAAAAAUAUGAACAUCUAAAGAAAACCAAGAAGAAGAAUAAUAUAAAAAAAACACACACACACACACAAAUUUCAAAUGGUAAAUAGAGGCAUACGGAAAAAUGAGUUUUAAACGGUUACAAACGGCAACUGCGCUUUAAACGCAUUUUAACUAACAGUGGUAAUGACGCAGUCUUCUCAUUUGAUGUUAUUGUAGCAGCAGGUGCAGAUGUCACAACCUUUCUGUUACUUGCACCAUCAGAUACCUUUGGUUCAUUUUCUGCCUUUCCAGAUCCCUUGUCAUUCUGAUCACCACAAGGGACAUACUGCUGAGUUUGCUGAUCAUAAGAACACCAAGCUCCGCUGUUACUAUCAUAAUAAAGAUCAGCAUCAUUUACAAAGUAAAAAUAAGAUCGAUCUGUUUCAAUAAUAUAUUGUUCUGGUAAUGAGUAAAUCAUCAUACAUUCAAACCCAUAUGAGUGAUCAAGAUAUAGCUGUCACUAUUAGAUUGACAACUGAACAUAUUAUACCAUGAAAGUGAGUCGGGGAUAUAAUGGUGCCUGGAGGUGUAGACUUUCUUACAUUGCUCGUGUUUGUUAGGCUUAAGAUUUAUUUGCUCUUCUUUCUUUCUACCAGAUGUUGAUUUUUCACAUAGAAGGGGCUGCCAGAUGACUACCCAAAUUGUUGUCGGAAAAAGAAUUUUGGAUACAGAGACAAAAUUAGAUUUGUUCUUCCAAGAGUGUAGUCUUGUAUUGCUUGUGGUAACUGUUGCAUGGACUUUUCAAAUCGAUUGUAUAGUUAUGUUAAUGCAUGUUAGAUUAUGAUACACCAAUGAAUUUCUUGGGAAAUGGCUACAAAUUUCAUGGCCUUCUUUUGCUUGUUUGUCUGAAAGAAAUGAGCAUCUAGCAAGUAUUAUAAACCCCAUCCUUUCUUA
Molecule: long non-coding RNA, 3118 nt
Organism: Macadamia integrifolia
Lineage: Eukaryota; Viridiplantae; Streptophyta; Magnoliopsida; Proteales; Proteaceae
Exons: 2
Source: RefSeq, a predicted model, not a curated record